GGUAGUCCACGCUGUAAACGAUGGCCACUAGGUGUGGGGGGUAUCGACCCCCUCCGUGCCGCAGCAAACGCGAUAAGUGGCCCGCCUGGGGAGUACGGCCGCAAGGCUAAAACUCAAAGGAAUUGACGGGGCCCGCACAAGCAGCGGAGCGUGUGGUUUAAUUCGACGCAACGCGAAGAACCUUACCCGGGUUUGACAUGCAGUGUUCAGCCUCGGAAACGGGCGCCUUUCGGGGGGAACUGCACAGGUGCUGCAUGGCUGUCGUCAGCUCGUGCCGUGAGGUGUUGGGUUAAG
RNAcentral lists this ribosomal RNA (294 nucleotides) under uncultured bacterium. Its description in RNAcentral is "partial 16S ribosomal RNA". It matches the Rfam family "Bacterial small subunit ribosomal RNA", at positions 789 to 1084 of the family's 1533-position model. The record is from RNAcentral.